AACGCGAAGAACCUUACCUGGGUUUGACAUGCACAGGACGCGUCUAGAGAUAGGCGUUCCCUUGUGGCCUGUGUGCAGGUGGUGCAUGGCUGUCGUCAGCUCGUGUCGUGAGAUGUUGGGUUAAGUCCCGCAACGAGCGCAACCCUUGUCUCAUGUUGCCAGCGGGUAAUGCCGGGGACUCGUGAGAGACUGCCGGGGUCAACUCGGAGGAAGGUGGGGAUGACGUCAAGUCAUCAUGCCCCUUAUGUCCAGGGCUUCACACAUGCUACAAUGGCCGGUACAAAGGGCUGCGAUGCCGCAAGGUUAAGCGAAUCCUUUUAAAGCCGGUCUCAGUUCGGAUCGGGGUCUGCAACUCGACCCCGUGAAGUCGGAGUCGCUAGUAAUCGCAGAUCAGCAACGCUGCGGUGAAUACGUUCCCGGGCCUUGUA
RNAcentral lists this ribosomal RNA (428 nucleotides) under uncultured Actinomycetes bacterium. RNAcentral describes it as "bacterial SSU rRNA". It matches the Rfam family "Bacterial small subunit ribosomal RNA", at positions 958 to 1385 of the family's 1533-position model. Lineage: Bacteria; Bacillati; Actinomycetota; Actinomycetes. The record is from RNAcentral.